Molecule: ribosomal RNA, 391 nt
Filed under: uncultured Actinomycetes bacterium
Lineage: Bacteria; Bacillati; Actinomycetota; Actinomycetes
Description: bacterial SSU rRNA
Rfam family: Bacterial small subunit ribosomal RNA
Source: RNAcentral
CCAAGGCGACGACGGGUAGCCGGCCUGAGAGGGCGACCGGCCACACUGGGACUGAGACACGGCCCAGACUCCUACGGGAGGCAGCAGUGGGGAAUAUUGGGCAAUGGACGNAAGUCUGACCCAGCGACGCCGCGUGCGGGAUGAAGGCCUUCGGGUUGUAAACCGCUUUCAGCAGGGAAGAAGCGAAAGUGACGGUACCUGCAAAAGAAGCACCGGCUAACUAUGUGCCAGCAGCCGCGGUAAUACAUAGGGUGCAAGCGUUGUCCGGAAUUAUUGGGCGUAAAGAGCUCGUAGGUGGUUAGUUACGUCGGGUGUGAAAAUCUGGGGCUCAACCCCAGACCUGCACUCGAUACGGGUUAGCUAGAGUUUGGUAGGGGAGACUGGAAUUCCU